AUGUGGGCGCUCCGCUCGCUGCUGGGGCUGCGGUGCGCGGCCGCGCGCAACAUGUCGCAGGGGCCGGCGCGCCGCCCGCGGCCGCCCAAGGACCCGCUGCGGCACCUGCGCACGCGGGAGAAGCGCGGCCCGUCAUGGGGGCCCGGGGGCCCGAACACCGUGUACCUGCAGGUGGUGGCAGCCGGUGGCCGGGAUGCGGGCGCCGCCCUCUACGUCUUCUCGGAAUUCAACCGGUAUCUCUUCAACUGCGGGGAAGGCGUCCAGCGACUCAUGCAGGAGCACAAGCUGAAGGUGUCCCGUUUGGACAACAUAUUCCUGACCCGAAUGCACUGGUCUAAUGUUGGCGGGUUGUGCGGAAUGAUCCUCACUUUAAAGGAAACCGGAGUUCCAAAGUGUGUGCUUUCUGGACCUGCACAACUGGAGAAGUAUUUGGAAGCUAUCAAAAUAUUUUCUGGUCCACUGAAAGGAAUAGAUCUGGCCGUGCGGCCCCACUCAGCGCCAGAAUACAAGGACGAGACCAUGACGGUGUUCCAGAUCCCCAUCCACUGUGAGCAGACGAGUGGUCAGCAGCCGCCCGCACAGAGUCCAGAGCGGCUGAGUCCACAGCCGCCUCCACAUGCAGAACCAGCUGACGGGGAGCAGCACUCGGACGGUGUCGGCUGGAAAGCGCGUGGCAGGGACACCUCCUUGGUGGUCGCUUUCGUCUGUAAGCUCCACGUGAAGAAGGGAAACUUCUUGGUGCUCAAAGCGAAGGAGCUGGGUCUCCCCGUCGGAACAGCUGCCAUCGCCCCCAUCAUUGCUGCCGUCAAGGACGGGAAGAGUGUCACCUACGAAGGGAGAGAGAUUCUGCCUGAAGAGAUCUGCACCCCUCCGGACCCCGGGAUCACCUUCAUCGUGGUAGAAUGUCCAGAUGAAGGGUUCAUCCAGCCGCUGUGUGAGAAUACCGCCUUCAGGAGUUACCAAGAGAAGGCUGACGCCCCCGUGGCCCUGGUGGUCCACAUGGCCCCGGAGCAUGUGCUCCUGGACAGCAGAUACCAGCAGUGGAUGGAGAGGUUCGGGCCCAACACUGAACACCUGGUUCUGAAUGAGAACUGUGAGUCGGUCCACAACCUGCGCAGCCACAAGAUCCAGACCCAGCUCGGGCUCAUCCACCCCGGCAUCUUCCCCCCGCUCGCCGGCCCCCGCCCUCAGGAAGGCAGUGCUGCCCAGGGUGUGCCCACGGUCCGAGGCCAGUGUCUCCUUAAGUACCAGCUCCGGCCCCGGCGGGAGUGGCAAAGGGAUGCCGUCCUGACGUGUGACCCCGAGGAGUUCAUUGCCGAGGCCCUGGAGCUCCCCAACUUCCAGGAGAGCGUGCAGGAGUACAGGAAGACGGCCCAGGACGGCCCAGAGGAGACGAGCAGCCAGUACCCAGAAGUGGUCUUCCUGGGAACAGGGUCCGCGAUCCCAAUGAAGAUCCGUAACGUGAGCUCCACGCUUGUCAACAUCAGCCCCGACACGUGCCUGCUGCUGGACUGCGGGGAGGGCACCUUCGGGCAGCUGUGCCGCCACUACGGGGACGGUGUGGACCGGGUCCUGGGCUCCCUGGCCGCCGUGUUUGUGUCCCACCUGCAUGCCGACCACCACACGGGCUUGUUGAACAUCCUGCUACAGAGAGAGCGUGCUCUGGCAUCGCUGGGCAGACCCUGCCACCCUCUGCUCGUGGUCGCCCCCACCCAGCUCCGGACCUGGCUCCAGCAGUACCAUAACCAGUGCCAGCCGCUGCUGCACCAUGUCAGUGUUAUUCCUGCCAAAUGCCUUCAGAAGGGAGCUGAGGUCUCCAGCCCUGAGGUGGAGAGGUUGAUAAAUUUGCUGCUGGAAACCUGUGGCCUGGAGGAGUUCCAGACCUGCCUGGUCCGGCACUGCAAGCAUGCCUUCGGCUGUGCGCUGGUCCACAUGUCCGGCUGGAAGGUGGUCUACUCGGGAGACACCAUGCCCUGCGAAGCUCUGGUCCAGAUGGGGAAGGAUGCCACCCUCCUGAUCCACGAGGCCACAUUGGAAGACGGUCUGGAAGAGGAAGCCAUGGAGAAGACACACAGCACCACCUCCCAGGCCAUUGGUGUGGGCAUGCGGAUGAGCGCGGCCUUCAUUAUGCUGACCCACUUCAGCCAGCGCUAUGCGAAGAUCCCGCUCUUCAGCCCUGACUUCAACGAGAAAGUGGGCAUCGCCUUCGACCACAUGAAGGUCAGCCUGGGGGACCUCCCGACGGUGCCCAGGCUGACGGCGCCGCUGAAGGCCCUGUUUGCCGGGGACCUGGAGGAGAUGGAGGGGCGCCGGGAGCGCCGGGAGCUGCGGCAGGUGCGGGCGGCCCUGCUCGCCGGGGAGGAUGUGGAGCCACCGCAGAAACGUGCCCCCGCGGAGCGGCCCCCGAGCCCGCAGAGCAAGAAGGCCAGGGCCCAGUAGACGUGGGGCCGGGGAGUGUGGAGGGAGGCCACGGCUUCCAGCGGUCUCCUGCACGAGCGCUGGGCUGGGGACGCAGCCUCAGGAACGGCAUCUCCAAGGACGGGACAUUGUGAAGGUGGCGUCUGCACCGAGUGCUGUGUCCCCGUGCUGCGGCCAAGCAGGGUCUUGGGGUACAGCUCUGCACUGCGGGUGCCCGGAAACAGCUUGAUCCUGGCAACGGCCUUCGGAGUCCAUCCCCGGGGAGCCAGCACCCCUCUGCAGCCUGGUGUCUUAGCCAAAGUCAAGUCGGGUGGACUGUCAGCUGUGGACCGCAAUGGGUGGGCGUGCAGUGGUUCCAGAAACGCAGAGAUGGGCUGCCGUUCCUGCCGCAUAAACAGACUCACCGGAGUGUGAAGCGACACCACAUGGGGCUGGCGGCCGGGCCUCCCCUAGGGCUGGACAGCACUGAGCCAUUUACAUCAAAGCCCACGGAAGAAGGUCCGCCCUGCCAGCUCCUUGCUGUGAAGAGGAAGGCCGGCCAGGCCCCAGGCUUCCAGGCUCCUGAGAGCGAGGCCCCCGGCCCCUCACCCCGUCCUGUUCCCUCCCCGCUCUGCACCAUCAGGCGGACCUCGCAGGACUCACGGCUGUCAGCACAGGUGACAGGCAGCCCCGGCUGACCACCACCGAGCCGUGCACACCCACCCUGCUGAGGAUGUUUCCGACACCAGCCCUCGGGUGGGGAGGGCAGUCACCUGGCGUGGAGGCCGAAAGUGGAUCAAAAUAGGCACAAAGUCAAAAGGCAAAGAUCAAACAAAAGGCCAGAGUCACCAUCCGGAGGGGACGAAAAAAAUUGCACCACAGAAACCUGCCACGUGGCCAUCCGCAGGGGUCCCACCUGGCGGCCGCUGCUGCGACGGCGUGGGCCGUAUGCACACGCGUGCGCAGUGCUGCUCUCAGGGCCGUGUGCAUGCGCGUGCGCGGUGCUGCUCAUAGGGCCGUGCUCUCCGACUCCUCCUCCGAGUCUCUCUUCUCAGCCACCGAGUGUCGCCGCACGUGCUCCAGGGGCCCGAGGCGCAGCGCUGACCCCAGCUCCACGUGGAUGGAGGGC
This is an RNA transcript of Budorcas taxicolor (takin), 3526 nucleotides long. It is a transcript of the gene named elaC ribonuclease Z 2, with no coding region annotated. NCBI's taxonomy places the organism in Eukaryota, Metazoa, Chordata, Mammalia, Artiodactyla, Bovidae. The transcript has 25 exons. The record is from RefSeq and is a predicted model, not a curated record.